This is a long non-coding RNA of Mustela lutreola (European mink), 1254 nucleotides long. RefSeq lists it as uncharacterized. Lineage: Eukaryota; Metazoa; Chordata; Mammalia; Carnivora; Mustelidae. The transcript is spliced from 2 exons. The record is from RefSeq and is a predicted model, not a curated record.
CCCUGGAGCUCUCCCCAGGCCUUCCCAUCUGUACCUCCCUUCCUGCCCUCACCCAGCCUCUCAGGGCCUUGCCGGGGCUAGGCCUGCUCUGGCUGACCGAGGUGUCGCCGGAGGCCCCUCUGGGCAUGGCCACCCUCCUGGGCAGCCCUAAGGUGCUCAUAUCAUGAAGGAAGUGGAAAAGCCCCUCCCUGAGCCCCUGCAGGACACACCUCUGUGACCCUGGACCACUCCCUCUGUGCUACCUCUCCUACAGGGGCCCUGAGGAACAUUCUGGAAGCUGAGCUCAUCAAGGACCUUGGAGGAAAGGAAGAGCCAACAGAGCCAUUUUGUUGAGAAGAAACCACAACUUCAGAACAACAGACCGUGACUUUAAGUAAUUUCUACAACGUAGAGAUCAAGAGUCGCAUGCUCCACCAAGUAAGGCUUGUUCCUGGAAAUGUUUGAACUGUGCCGUUAACAUGAGGUCUGCUGGCUUUUCUGCUGUGAAGCGACAUCUACAAGAACUCUCCGCAUGCCGACUCUGUCCACAUCCCUUGCACUAACAGACUUUGCCCAAAUUCUCCUGCAGCUUCUGGCAGCCCAAGACCUAAGCCUAAGGCCACUGGGAUGACCCAGCCCCCUUGAGUGCCAGUCUGGCAAAGUUAAAGGAUGAUGAAAGAAUUGACUGUUUGUUCCAGCCAGCCCCAGAAGAUGGGCUACUGACCUCCCAUUCUUAGAGCCUUUGUAGAAAAACCUUGAACUGUUUAAGUCCCUUCUCUGAAAUGUCUCUCUGAAAUGGUGUCCUCAGGAAGGCUGGGGCCUCUGUCUCCCUGGCUCAGAGGGAGGGAGAAGCUUGACUUCACAGAGCACCUCAUGACUUUGACAAUGACAAUGACCAACCUUCUUAGCUGCUUCUUGCGGUUUCUCAGUCCCCGACUCUGUGGGAGUCCCCGGUCUGUUUUUACCUCCUGCACCUUGACCCUGGCUUUGUUGAUCUUUGACAAAACAUAACUCUUUUUCCCAUUGAAACUUCUCUUUGUCGGGUUACACCUUGAGGCUCUGAGGAAAAAAAAUCCUGUUACUCCUCAAACUUUCCCAGACUGAUUUUAACCACCAUUAGGGAUCCUUGCCCGAGUCACUCACUAGCCCAAUGGUCAUUUUCUAAUUCCGUUCUUUCUACAUUGGUGAAAAAGAGCGUUCCCUUCUUGUCCACUUGAGUACGUAUUUGAAUCAUUAUGAAUUCAUAAAUUCUAAAAUUAAAAAAUUCAUAUUUUA